This 301-nucleotide ribosomal RNA is filed under the name uncultured bacterium. RNAcentral describes it as "partial 16S ribosomal RNA". It matches the Rfam family "Bacterial small subunit ribosomal RNA", at positions 509 to 807 of the family's 1533-position model. The record is from RNAcentral.
CAGUAGCCGCGGUAAUACGUAGGGUGCAAGCGUUAAUCGGAAUUACUGGGCGUAAAGCGUGCGUAGGCGGUUCGUUAAGUCUGCUGUGAAAUCCCCGGGCUCAACCUGGGAAUGGCAGUGGAUACUGGUAAGCUAGAGUGUGUCAGAGGAUGGUGGAAUUCCCGGUGUAGCGGUGAAAUGCGUAGAGAUCGGGAGGAACAUCAGUGGCGAAGGCGGCCAUCUGGGACAACACUGACGCUGAGGCACGAAAGCGUGGGGAGCAAACAGGAUUAGAUACCCCUGUAGUCCCUGUCUCUUAUAC